Pan troglodytes (chimpanzee) is the source of this 83-nucleotide microRNA precursor. It matches the Rfam family "mir-548 microRNA precursor family". Lineage: Eukaryota; Metazoa; Chordata; Mammalia; Primates; Hominidae. The record is from Rfam.
UACUAGGUUGGUGCAAAAGUAGUUGCGGUUUUUGCCAUUGGAAGUAAUGGCAAAAACCGCAUCUACUUUUGCACCAACCUAUA